GUCUAUGACCAUACCACUCUGAACACACCUGAUCUCGUCUAAUCUUGGAAGCUAAGCAGGGUCUGGCCUUGUUAGUACUUGGAUGGGAGAAGGAGACAGAUACC
This 104-nucleotide ribosomal RNA is filed under the name Erinaceus europaeus (western European hedgehog). The record is from RNAcentral. Lineage: Eukaryota; Metazoa; Chordata; Mammalia; Eulipotyphla; Erinaceidae.